GCCGGGGGGAAUAACUCACAUUUAGCUCUUAAGCUACAGCAAUCAAUAUAAAUUUAGCAUGGUAACGAUCAGGUGCAGGGGGUGUAGGUCUCCCGUGCCUCUCUCUCUCUCUUUUCCCGGUACAUGGCACGGAGCUCCGGCUCCCCGAGGCCCGUGGGUAACGCAACUAAGGCUCCACGCGGCACGUCGAACCUCAACUGAGGAUUACAGUGGGGGAAACAAACAAACAAAGCUGUCUCCGAGUCUUAGCGACAGGCACAGGCGAUACACAGAGCCAGUAAUGAAGCCACUGAUGGCACCACACACCCCUCCGCAGUGGGCUUCCUGGAGCAGCGGAGGUGUUUUAGACUGCGUUAAGGACAUAAUGGGACAAAUCGAGAUGAUGUGAUGAGCGAGCCGUGUGUCCGUGUGGCUGACUGAUAGAUGCUGUCUCUCAGGAGAGCGUCCGUGCUGAUGGCUAUCGCCCGGGGAGGAGGGUUGAGGCAGUUGUGGCUCCUGGGUAUUCAGAUUGGAGUGUUGACAGGUUUAUUAUUGAAGUUUGUUUUUUUACCAACCCUCUUUCUAUCACUGGAUGGGUGGUGUCAAGGUGUGAUAGUCACUGUCUUCUUCUCUAGUUUCCAAGUGGGCUGUUUCCACAUUAGCUAGCUUCCACGACGGCAGCCGCUUCAAAAUACCUGGAGGAGACAACAAUAAUAUCAAUUAAUUGAACGGCAUUAGAAUGAAUGCUUUACUUUUUAAUUGGUUCAAAGUCACUGAACAGAAGUGAGAAGCAGUACUCACACCGGAAGCGGAUAGAAAAUUGGCCGUAGGAUGGUGCCAAAUGUAAGCCUUGAGUCAUACAGGAUACCCAGCCGGAGUAUCAACGCCUGUAAUGCAACUGACAACCUGCUGCCUCUGACGUUAAUAAAGAUAGAACAUGUACAAAAAUUACUCACUUCCCUAUUGUAAUGAGAUCGUAUCCAUCAUGAUACUGUUUAAAAAUGAUCAAAUUGAAGCUCAAUUGGGGCCUCGUGCAUCGCUGUAACCUGCUGGUAUUACUCUUCUAAAUGGGUGGAAAAGUGGAGGGGAUUUAAAUAAAGACUCUAUAUGUUAAUGGCCAGGGUUUAGCUCCCCUGGUGAUCCACUUCCCACAGAGACGGACCAGCGGGGAGGUGGGAUGGGAGCAUGUAGCCGGCACUAAAGAUAAAUGCCGGUAGAUGUUGUGUUGUACACAUUUCUAAUCUUCUCCCCGCUUUUGAAAAAAAAAAAUGCAAGAACAAGGAAGGGGGAAGAUGUUGACCUCAGUAGGUGUCUCUGUGUCCUGCUUGGCCACAAGAGGGAAGUAGCUCGCUACAGAGGUGGAACACAGGCCACAGGUUUAUGAAAGCAAUAGAGAGAUGUGAGAUGUAUUAACUAAAAGGUAUUAUCAUACUUUACUUUUACACAUCACUGGACUUUUUUUUUCAUUACAUGAGCCUAUGAUCUUUAAUACAGAAUAGGGGAAAGUACUGUGGACAAGGAGAUGAGGCAAUGCACAAUUUAAUGGUAUUGGCUUUUAUACGUAAUAAGGGGGCACUGAUCAAAGGUUCACAAUACUCAAAAGCAGCUAGGUUGCACUCAGGAGGGGGACCAAGUGCUCUCCAGCCAGCCUGAGUAAAUUGCCAUAUCAGCUCAUCAGAAUUCAACUGGAAGAUGUAAGUUAGUGGAGACUAAUUGAAGACCGAUUUAAGGGGCAUCCAUCUGGACAUGGCGACCCUCUCCUACUUUACUUAGUAAUUUCUGGUGAAUGCUAAUGUGUUUAAUAUAAUAGUGUAUUUGUGGAGUGGGAAGGCUCUUUGAAAUGAAGCAACUGAAAUGUACAUGGGGAAAUUACUCAAGCAGACUAUCCAUUUGCUUGCCCUCUUCGCUUCUCUUGGGCAAGGGGAAGGUGAUGCUGGAGGAGCCACGCUCUCAUGGAGAACAGCGCGUGUGGGAUGUUAUCAGAGACUCGCUCAACAUGGUUAUGUGAGCCUAUUAAACAAGUACGGGUGUACGAUGUCCUCUACAAAAUUAGGAUCAGAAUCUCCGGCUGUGUGGUCCUUCUUGACCCGACUCACGCUAAAAUUGGAUAUUCCUUAGAAAAAGAUUCGGUUAAUGAAAAGUAUCGAGCAACAGCCUGAUGAGGAAAGCCACUGUGGAUGCAACUGGAGAUUAAUUAAGUUGCGGAGAUAAGAGCUCUGCGUAAUAUGCAUAAUAUGCUCAACAAUAAUUAAAAGUAGCAUAGUAAUACAUCAUAGUAACAAAUAAGUGUCAAAAAGUCAAAAAGCACAAUAUUUCCUCAGACAAAUGAUACGUGAUGCAAACUGUGGAGAGAUAUGAAGCUGUGGGAGUGAACGCUUCUCACAUCUCCCUCAUCUUUAAUAAAUAAAUAAGUGUAAACAACAUAAAAAAGGAUCUGGCACCUGCAAACAAGUGUUGUUCAAAUCAUCUAAUAUUUAUUAAUUAUUUUGCUAAAAAUAUUUUGAAUUUUGAAUUUUGAAAUAGAGCAUACGGACACUGGAUUAGAAAUAAUUUAUUUUUCAUUUGAGCGAUUCUUGUUUUGGUAGAUUUGUGCUGUUUUUUUUAUUUCACAUUAGUUUCCAUGCAUUCAAUUCUGUUACCCUACGACAUCUUUUCUUUCUGCUUUGAAUCCAGAUUUCAUGGUGAAAACACCAGGGCAAAGAACAUCGUCAAUAUGGCCUUCACAACUGCUGUUAUUUCCCCCGGGACCUGGAAUCACACAUUUGAAGCUGUCCUCCAGGGAGAUAUCUAGACAACAGACUGAUCCAAACCGUUGGUAACUCUAGUCUCACUACAACUCCGUUGGCUUUGAAAUCUUUUUUUUAAAAGGAGCUAAAUAACAAGAAAGAAAUAGGUCAAAAUAUGUGAUUUUAUUUUUAUUUUUUGCACAAAAAUCAUGUAAAAACAGUGACAAUGAUGAGAAAAUGCAGAGACGAUGCGAUGAUGGCUGUAUGUUUAAGACCGUAGUGUCAUCAGACACAUGCUUUUUUUUGGUUUUUGAGAGAUACUUAUUGCUUUUUAGCUCUUCCACAGGUCGUCUGUACUGGACUGAACACCAUACUGUUAAGGUAUUUAAAAGAAAAAUGAUGAAUCCUAAAAUGCUCACGAUCAUGGUGAUUCCAUUUAAGGUAAGAUUACUGUCCCAGAUGUCAGGGAUGAUGGAGGCAACAAGGAGGAGUGUUUAUAUUAGUCCCCAAUGCAUGCUAACCACAAUUCCUUUCCCAUUUUACAACCUAACUUUCUCUUACUUCAAGGAGACGUGUUCCCUAAGCUGCUUUGAUAUGCCUGGCUGCUUGGAAGCUGUUUUAGAAAAAAAAACGCCCCAUCCCACCGCACCGACAGGUGUCUGAUUUCUAUUCCCAUGGCAAACGUACGCCACAGCUAGAUGCAGAUUGCCUGUGGAGAUCACCGUUUGUGCAAAAUAAUAGUGUAUGUGGAAAUAAUGGCCCAGGGACAGUCUACAGGCUUUCAGAUUAGAUGGAUGUUUGGGAAGAAAUGAUACAACAGUGAGGGAGUGAUUGCUGUAAUGAUAGAUUCCUAACCAGACAUCUUUCAUAAAUGGAAACUUGGGUUUUGGCCAGAAAAGAAUCCAGAAUGGGUAUGUCAAAGUGUGAGACGAUUUAGGGGAGAUGUUUUCGCAGCAAAUUGCUGCAUCAUGGACGCUUGAGAUGCUUUAAGGUAAUACAGUUCAUGUCUGGCUCAGUGAAAACAAGAAAGUUUUAAAUGAUGCUUGUCGACUGACUAGAAGAACUUUGAAGUUUUAUCUCACUUGUCUUUAAUACGUUUUUUGGAUUAAUAGGUUUGCAAUGUCAUAAUGCAACUUCUGAUGAUGAAUGAAUGGAAUACCUUUUAUAUAUGUUUAACACAGAUUGUAUCACCGUUCUCUUUCAGAGCCAUUUCUUUCUUGUCAUGCAAAAUGGAAGGUCUAACCCGAGGGUAUGACAAUAUGAUUAGAAUGGGAAGUCAUUCCUCCAUCCUCCCGGCCACUGUGAUAUAAAUAUAAGGAAGUGAUUAGAGGGUAGAAGCAGCUUUGGUUCAUUUAUAUUUCAUACAAUUUGAAAAAGUAAUCUGACCUAUGGACGCUGCAUACUGGAUAUGGAAGUAAGGAAGCUGACAUCCUUAUAAGACUGCUUAAUUUCUAUGGAAUUACUCCAUUAUUUACGUCAUUAAAACUACGAGACCACCAUAUAACCCACUUUCAGGGGACGUAUGGACUAACCCUAGGUUGGAGAUAAAAAUAAGGUGACAGCAUAGGCACUUUGCAAAGAGAUAUGUUAAAUCAGCCUGAUCAGUCGAGCAUAAUGUCAUGGCUAUUACAUUUAGCCUUUAUAUAUGGAUGUCUGUCAAGGGAUGGGCCAUUCUGCUAGUGUGAGAUCCCAUCGCAUAGAGAUUGCGAGUUUGAGAUCAGAGAGACACUCGUUGAACUCAAUUCAUUAUUAAUGUUGAGAUGUGUCACUUUCAAUUCUCACUACUUUUCCCCCGUGGUUAAUAAUUACAUGUUUUGAAAACACUUUGGUUAAUUCGAUUAUGAGAGAAUCAGUGUUUUUUUUCAACUGACUCCAAUGUAAGCCAGUCCGCGUCAGUAAUAGAUGGUUAAUAGCAACUGAUGCGGUUCGAGGGGGAGGGAUGUGUGUGUGUAGAGCGUGCGGGAGGGGAGUUGGAUGGGUCAAACUACCAAACACAAGACUUUCUCCUGACCUUUUCAUAACCCCAACCAACCUUCUGUGAAUACGGGAGAUUAUUUUGAAAAGACACGAUACAUGCAAUGGGUGUGUAGUGGCUGACAUGAUGCUACAUGGUGCUAUGUGGUAUCAACCAAGUCUCACAGCAAAACGUUAUUCUUUAACGUUAUUCCCAAAAUGGUGACAAUACUAUGUUUUAUUUCGGCCCAUUCAUUUACAUUGCCUUGCAACUACGUCACUAGAAACUAAUAAACGGAAGGUCUACAUUCUGUGAUAGAAGAUUAUGAAAAUAGAACGCAUACUUCUCGCUAGAAAUGCCAUCGAAAUGCAUACAAAUGCUGAUGCUUUCUCAAAAUAGUGGCUGUCGUGAUCAAGUUGUUGGUGUGCACGGCCGUCUGUUGAUGUUUUUCCAGUUGUCAUGACAACGGGCCGUGGCUCUUGAGGACGCUCAGCUGCUGGCAAUUACACCCCUGGCUCCAGUUCCCGAUCAGGGGGGUAUUUAAGAGCCGUCCGGAGAUCCAGGCCCUGCCGGAUCGUUAUGUGCCUGAGACUACCGUCGUUCACCCUGCUCGAUUCCUCCCCACCAGACCCCCAGAAACCAAAACGUCUCGGACUACUGUUUUUUUCCUCGUUAUUGUUGGAUCCACGUAAAUAAACCAAUCCAGUCUGCGUUUGGGUCCUGUUCGAGCUUGACAUGACAGUUUUUCACAGAAAAUGGACCGACAGUCCGCCAUUUUUUUUUGUUAGCUGAGGGGAAGUUGAUAGUCACGUGACCUAGUUCCAACUAAAACAUUGUAUCGUCACGCUUUCUCACCAAAAGCGUGACAAUACAACAAUGACAAUACAAUAUAAAGUACAGUGUCAUUGUACUAAAGCUACAAAGCUAGGGGCUACAAGCUAUCUACACAAACACUUACACAGUAUCGCCUUUUUCUUUAUGGAUUUCUCCCAAUUUUCUCCCCAAAGAGGGUUUUUUGGGAGUUUUUUCUCCUGUCAGGUAGUAAAUGAACAACUUUAUGCAAGGGAGCCGACUGAAGCAAAGGUCUUGAGAAUUGGACCACAUGAACUGUCUUGAUGAUGAAGUGUGAUGAACGGUGAUCAACGUUUUGUAUUUCACUUUGUAAUUGUAUUCCUUAUAACAGUAGCUUGUUCCAUGCUAACUUAUCUACACCACCACCUCAACCCAAACCUAUUUUUUUACAGUAAGCUACAUCUUAAUAUAUAAAGUAAUGUGAACGAUCGUUAAUACAUACAAAUUGGUUCAGGCUACUUUAAAGCUCCUAAAUUCUCAUUCUUAUUUCAUAUCUUAAAUUUGAAUUUCUUUUCGUCCCAAAUUAAUGCUGCGAUUGCUAAAUUAGCAUCUGUCACAUACAGCGUGGUGCUAUUUUCAUGCAACAAUCAAUUACAGUGUUCAUUAUUCAGGUCUAACGUUGCUUCCCCCCUACACACUCUGCUCUGCAUCACCAAACCAAGGUGAAGCAGGAUACUGACUUGCAUUAACUUUGACCCUGGCCAAACAUUUACAUACACAAAACACAAACCUGUGUCCGUUGAUGCCCCCAUAAACAUGACACAUAUGUGAUGUGCCUGUCACACGCGGGCCAUGUCACUGUGACCGUGUGACAUUGUGACGGAGCUCUCCCCCCUUUGUGUUUAUUUUGUGUAUAUGUGGGAGGUGGGAGCAUGGGGGGGGCCGGGGGCGGUUUUCAUUUUCGUGUUUUUUGAUGAGUGUGAUUGUGCGGGCGCAUAUAUGCUGCCUCACUUCGACAACGUUGCUCUGGCUCCAUUCUGUAGGUCAGCUGGGGUUUAAUUGUCAGCCUUAAAUAUUCAUGGGCACAUUGAGUAGAUAAAUGAAGGUAUAAGCACACUGUAAAAUUUUCAAUAGGUCAGGUGUCACUGACUUCACCGGAUACAAUUUACUGUGUGAUCCGACAUUCGCUGCAAUGCCAAUUAAUAUGUUAAGAGCAUGAAAAGGAGCCCUAAUGACAUUUUCCAUUUAUGCAUUAUAAAGUAAUCCACAAUGAGAUGGAUACCGUUAAGACUAAAGGUGCACCGCAAUAAAAAGGACCGCUUUAGGAGGGUCUUUUAUAUAGGUAUGAAUCUAUAUAAUUCUAUCACAGACUAAAACCUUUAAUUCUUUCAGUCAUUACUUUUUACCUGAGCCGGAGCUUCCUCUUGAUAACCCGAGCACAGUGGUCAAAUUAUUCUACAAUUUAUUAUUGUACUCUUUGACAAAAGUGAUCAAAGCUUCUGUACUGCAGGCUCACUAGAUGCCACUCGCUCCAGAUCGUUAUAACUUCAAAUCUAACCUAGUUAGCCCGAUCACAGACGCUGGAUUAGACCACUAUGGAGCUACAUUAGAAAAUAUAACUUAGUUGUAAUAAUUAUGUUUGACCCGUCUAAUUCCAAGAGUGACAUGUGAUGUAGAAUAGGAUCAACAUCAUUUUUGCCAGUGAUUACACCUUGUAAUCAUGAACUGAAUUGAUUCCGUUUUCACCCAUGCUUUAGUCAGGGAGCCGCAACUCAGCAACGCCAUCGAAGCCAAUGUGGCCUCUCUCGGAUGCCCAGCUGUUCUGCCAAGGUUAGUAUCUCCUCAUCCUCUGCGCUUCCGUCUCUUUUCUUAAUAGCUUAUUUGACGAUAAUUAACCCUGAAUCCAAUAGGGAACGUCCAGUAAGAGAUUGAUGGCCUCGUUGGCCUGCUACACCUGUUCUGCCACAAGGCUCACAGUUACUGAACCGUGGCCAAAUCUGACUGCCCUGGAGCCGCGCGUGUUGAUGUCAAAGACAAACACGGGUCCUCCCCAGUGGCAGGGGUGUUCAAGGUAGGGCAACAUUGUGACCAUAACCCCUGGUUACACUCAUUACUCCACUCAAGGCUGGCUUCUCUAAGGGGGCAUCCUGCUCUCCCUUUUUCUCCCAAUUAUCCAUUCAUCUGCAGCUCCACUUCUUCCUGCAUGAAGUGGCGCUGACUUGCUGCAAAAAGCAUAUUUCAUCAGGUCAGUGCCUUUUGUCAGCCAGUCCAUUUCGGGACAGAGUAUGACCAUGUGAUGGCUCUUUUACCGCCGUUAUCACUUUUAGACGUGCGUGGAAAACCACAGCUCAGGAAAUGUUUGUUACGCACUGUAUUUAGUUGCCAGUGUGUCUCAUGCAGUUGUCCUACUGUGGCAGAUUACUGCUGUGAAAGCAGAUCCUUGUGCCAAUGAUGAAUGGCAUAUCCAGGCUGCACACAUGUGCUCACGAUUACAAUGAACAGAUGUUAAUUACUUCUUUUUUUCCCCUUCCUUUUCUUGAGAUGUUCAUCCCUUCUGGUCGAGGCUCUGGACUUCUUCUCGGUAAGGGGAGGGAGGAGUGGAGGGGGGAAGCAUGGGCCUCAGCCAUGUUUGCUGCGGAGGGGCUUUUGGGGGGUGGGGGAAUAAUUUAAUGCAUAAAAGUGUUUAAUUUUUCAUAAACAGAGGAACCACUGAAUGCCCACAACUAACAAUGUACCCCAAAGCAGAUGUAGAGCGUUUUUAAUUUAUGGAGAACUGAGCGAAAUGGGCAGAUGGAGCAAGAGGAGGUGGAGGCAUGCUGAGGGACUCCGCUUUCCUCUCUUCUCACCUCACAAACAAGAGAAGCCUGUGAGCGUGUGCCACAACUCUCACAAACACACUCCCACACAACGCUCAAAGACACAAGCGCAUGCACAAACGCAGGCAUCCACCACCCCCACCUUAUACAUGCACACUUCCAACUUUCAACACAAUUCCACUCUCCCCUGUAGUCCAAAACAAGUUAUGCAUGGAUACAUCCCCCACCUAGAAACACACACACCCACGCAUGCAUUCAUUACCUAAAAUGAUCCUCCCGCCAUCACCCCCUCACAGACACACACAACCAAAUCCUCGGGGUUUGGCUGGACUCGAUUGAGAACACUCAGUAAUGAACUGCCUCCUGCGCCGUGCGGCGUCUGCAGGAAGUAGACAGGCUUCAUUCUGGCGAGCCAUAUGUAGGUAUGAAUAUGCAUUGAAAUCUGUCUUACAGCCAACAAGCACAACGUAUAUGUGAUGUCAAAGGUCACUGCGCGAGGAGUGAAAUUAGCUCUCAGUUGGGCAUUUGGAGACACGCAAGACUUUUUUUGGGAAAACGUGGGCGGACUGUGAAUAAUGCUAAUGUGUGAAUUUAGUCCUUGGCUCACUUUUAGAGGACAACAUUAAUUAAGAAGUUUGGCCACUUAGUAUUAUCUGUUGUUAUUCGAGGUAGAGGGAGAUGUUGGAAAACAAGGCCAUAUGAAAGAUAUGGUGGCCCAACAGUUUUUCUCUCCGUGGCACAGUUGUUUGCCGUAUUUGCAUUUAAAAAAAAGGCAAAACAGAGAUGUUUGGGGAUUUUAUAUUGAAUUUAUUUGUAUUAACAGUACCUGUUUUUUGAAAAACCUAAUUGCAGUGAGACUGUUUGUGGUAUUAGGGUGAACAUUGCAGUUCCCAAGGUCACAGGUGGCAACCUGGUUUUCUUAACACAGCCAUCCCAUACUGCUAACAUGUGGAGGACAGCGUCUCCUGUGCAGUUAUGUGGUUGCUCCAAAAAUGCACAAUAUCUGUACUGCCGACAUGAUACUGAUGGAGCCUGAGCAGUUUUGCUUCAUCUCAGCAUCUCUUGAUUGAACAACUUCCCUCACAGGCUUCGCUGUUCGACAUGGUUCUGUUAGACUUUACCGUUGUGUAGAAGCGCAUUAUCUCUCCCUGCUGUCAUGUCACUUCAUUCCAAAUUCAAACUCUUGUAAAAAAAUGAAAUAAAGAUAGGAUUUUUUUCGUGAGCCAGGCUGCACUUCUAACAGGCACAACUAUCUCCAGCUUGUUAACUAUUUAUUUGAGGUGACAUUAGCCCGGCAUUGUGCUUUGCACGUGUGUCCCCAGGCACGGCCCAGACGGCCUCACUGUCCCGCAGUCUUUCUGCUGUAAAUUCUCCACUUAAAAUUUCAUGAUCUCCGCUCGGCAGGAUACCGCUUCCAUCAUGAAAGAGUUCUCAAACCUAAUAACCGUUACUACUCUGGCGGAGCCAUCAAAAACCUAUUUGUUUCAACAAAAGCCCUCUCUCCCCCAUGCAAUGCUGCUGGGUAAUAAUGCCAGGUUUUAAGGGCAAUGAAUUGUGGAAUUACCAUUUCCCUCUCUCUCUCUCUCUCUCUCUCUCUCUCUCUCUCUCUCUCUCUCAAGAUCAUUAUAUUAAACACUUAAUUAUUCAUUGGUAAUGUCUGUCAUGGUGAAAUAUUGUCCUCUACCAAUCUGAAUGCAUCAUACUGCCGAGGCCUGCCUCUCUUCCUGAGGUUAAUGGCACAGCCUUCACUUGCAUUAGCUCGGCUAAAUGCAAUGCACCUCAUAAGUCAAAGUUGCCUAAGUGCGUGGAGAAGUCAUCCCCUCAAGAUCUCUCUUUUUCUUUCUCCUUCAGCACGCGGGUCAGUGAGAUCAUCCUCACACGCCAACUAGCUCGAAGAACGCACACACACCGCCACACACACACACACACACACAAGUGUCCACGUUGGAGCUUUAUUGUUUUAUCUGAGGGUGGUUUUGAGCAUGACGGAGCAGUCGAAGCUGCCAUGGAGCUUUUAAAGGUGAGGGGUGAGAUCACUAUUCAUGCAGUGCAUCCGUAGACGGCCUCUAUAGGGUACAGAGUAGUAUGACUAAAUGAUGAGACUGGCAUUAGUCAUUCCAUACUACAUGCUCAAUUUGGACAGACAUAAACAGUAUUAAACAGAUUACAGAAGAUAGUGGUGACAAGAUCUCUCAGGUCUGAUGCGAAGAUGCAUGGGCACCCUCCUUGUGUUAAUACACUCUGGCAUGCAAUAUUUCUUCUGCAAAUAUGCAGCGCUAACAGAAAGGAUUUUGGGGAUGGUUUUGUGCACUUAAGCAAAUUGCAUGUCGAUUACGUCUUCCUGAUAUUGCUAAAACGAAAUGUACUUUAUCAUCGGUUAACAGUGUAUUACAUGUGAUGAGAAAUCCUUGUAAAAAACAUAUAGUUGUUGUGUCAAUAGCGGGAACUGCUGACACACGGGUAAACAUUUCACCAGCUUUGCAGCUUUCCGCUGUGGCAUGUACAAUUAAUAACAGAAACAAUUAAUUUUCUUUGAUGGAAGGUCAUUCAGUUUGAACCCCGCCGAAUGAAGAGGCAGAGAAACGGGGCAAAAGGAUGCCGGAGAUUAAUACUGUUUCUUGAAAGCCAAUAUGGAUCAUUAUUUUACAGCCUUCUAUUACCUGGUUAAACAUGCAUGCCUUUAUGUCAGCACAUUAUUCAAGGUGCCAGCAAAAAGGCUUCUGUGGCGCCCUGACGCUUACCCUCACAACUGGGCCAUCCAGGAAAAACAUCCAGAAAACAAGCUAUGGGAAAAGCUUGCGGUCUUUGUACAACAUGCUUACGGUUGUGGUUGGACCUGCAAAAUAUGUACAAAUAACUUGUGCAUUGUUCAUUUUCAGGCACGAUUCAACACCUUUGCAGUCCUAUUAUCUUCAGAUCUAUUUCCUUACAUGUGAGAACAAAAUAAAUUCCAUUCACGAAGAGUAUGAACCUUGUUUUGCUUUUACUUUCAUACUUUUGGAUGGCGGUUAAAAAACAGAGCAGAGAGAACACGUCAAGGGGCCAACAGAAACACCGUAGCUGGUCCCUUUUAAGUCGUUUGCUUGUUAUUAAUUAAUGACUCCUGCAUUUGGAUGAGGACAUUUCUGACCUUCACUUCAAAGUUGACUUUGGGCACUGAAGAGCUUAAUAGUGAACCAUCUAAUCUCAUUAGACGAUGCUGGGCGAAGGUGGCACGGCGACAAAGUAACAGUCUCUCUCUCUCUCUCUCGGUUUGGACCGGGAGCAGAAACAGGUGUGGGAGCGGGCGUGUAAGUCUGAGACAGGCGGAGCCCUCGCUAACCCCUCUCCUCUAAUUGCCGUGGAUGGCAGCAUGCUCUCGCUAUCUGCUGCCUUUCAUAACAGUUGGUGUUUGGCAAAGGGGCUUUUAUGUUUGUUUUUAGCUGAUGCGUUGCUACUCAUUGUGGCUCCGUCAAAGGAAUACUUUAGCAUCCUUAGUUGAAUUGAAACGCGUGCGUCCCUCGUGGACGUGGAUGCCAACUGCUCCAAGACACAUUAGAGUCACUCAAGACACUUUUGAAACUUCUAGCAACAAUCCGAUGUUGAUUUAGUAUCUUUCUGUAAUUAUUUACAAGAAACUUCUGCACAUAGAGAACGACUCAGGAGCACCACAGCACAGAUUUGGGGAUUAAACAAUGUAUGAGCAGCCCUACUGGCCCCCCUUCAGCCUAAAGCAUAUAGGCCCAGUGAUUUUCAAUUUCACAACAAAAAUCAAAUCAAAUUUUCGCUUUCUGUAACAUACUUACACUUGCAGGUGUGUCAAAUGUUACAAUGGAAGUCUCAUUCAUAUCAUUUCCUGUUGCAUUACACUUUGUUCUGGAGUGUAGUCUGAGUAAUAACAUGAGCUGGUUUUCUGACACACUCCACUCAUAUCUCUACCUUUACAAAGCUCCAGCUUUUUACUCUGCGAGGCACAUAUUGCAGAUCCUGUGGAGCCAUAUUUAUUGUCGCAGCUUAUUUAAAUAAUCACAAACAUGCCAGUGCACAUUAUGGCCCUCUGUCAAGGUAAUAACACAUUGUCAUUGCUGUUGGGUGGCAAAUAUUAAACCAUAGAUCAACGUUUAACAAUAAUGGACUGGAUCUGCAUGUCUCCCUUUCCAUUUCAGAUGGCCUUCGGCUAUAUUACAAUAAUUUAAUGCUUCAAAUAAUGUGACGUUUUUUUUGUUAUUAUUGCUUUUUUGAGAAAUAGUUAAGGGAAUCAGUGAUACAUGUAUUAUCGAAUGUGAGGUUGUUUCCGUGUGACGGUUGUUUCACUGAGAUAUUACUGAGUCUGUGUCCGAUGUGUGUUUUAAGCCCAAGCAAGUGUAUAAACUGUACAUGAAUAAUUCUCUUUAAUGUAUACUUUAUGUGCCUGUGUACAAUGCUGCAUAUUUAAAAUGAAACAAUAAGGUGUUUACUGUUCCUCCUAUGGCGACCGUAGGGUUUUGUUUUUGAUUGCUGCACAAAUUCACAUUCACUUUAAUGUUAAUAUUGUACAUGGAAGAUUUUUCUAAAAAUGCAUUAUGCAGGAUUAAAAACGGCAAUAACUGAUUUCUUGGUCAUGAAGGAGCUUUUGGAAACAAGCUGUGAACACAAUGCUGAUGUAAGCAAUUAAGCUGUGUGUCAAUCGGUCACUCGUAAUCAAGCGGUUUUCCUUUUAAACAUCAAGGAAACCAAACAGCAUUGACUUAGUGUAACCGUAUUUCUGACCACCUGGUGAAAAUAACUUAAGCUAAGUUAAGUGGCUGACUUAAAUAUCUUUUUUCGUCACUUAUUUCGUGGUAAGUUUAACUAAAAUCAACCAGAUAGAAUGUUAAAAUGAUUGUGUCCAUGUAGUAUAUAUUUAUGUUGUUUGGCUCUUAAUGCAUCUAACUAAUAUCCAGAGAGACAUCAGCUGCACACGGAUACACAAACACAAACACACAACACUUCUUUUCCAUGGCUAGGUGGUGAUUCUGCUCAUGGUUCAAUGAACCAUCAGCUGUAAAAUCCGACUGCUCCUGAGCGUCUGUGCGUUGGGUGCCGGGCCUGCGGCGUUUUGACCCCCGGGGGGGGAUUCCUCUGCCGGAUCAGCUGUUGGUAGCCGAGUCAGCGGCUAACAGAGCCCUGGGGAGCUCCGGGUGUGUUUGAUUAGCUCUCCACGGAAGAAAAGGGUCAAGGGAAGGCGGCUCAUGUUACCUUGGCGGAGGUGGAAAGGAAGGAAGCAAAGGUGAGGGCAAAGAGGAAAGCGGCGUGUGGCCGACAGGCAGAUGAGUGGUCGCGUGGGUGAGGUGGGGGGGUGGCGAAGAGAGGGGAAUUAGACACAUGUCGAGCUGAGGUCUCAAUUUUCCCGCCAUCAGGGCGACACCUGGCCUCGUCUUAAUUGGCCCAGGAAACCUCACCUAAUCCAUCGCCGGUCCUCCUCGGUGUCCGGAGCCUUCUGAGCUCCAUUCGGCGCCGAGGCGAGCGGACAAAAGCAAGGGAUGAGAAAAAAGGGGGGGGGGGGGGUCUCUCUCUGAGACCUAAUCCAAUUAGAUAACUGUUAGAACAGCGUGAGUAGAGCUUCACGUCCCUUAAAAGUAGACACGAACUCUGGCAACCUCGAAGAAUGCCAUCUUGUUAAGAGUCGCAGCGGGGAACUCUUCUUCCUCGUCUCUUGAUCCCUCUGACCAGAUGUGUGUGUGUGUGUGUGUGUGUGUGUGUGUGUGUGUGUGCGCGUUUUAGAAACCCACAGAGAGGGAUAAAUGGUUCUCACUCAUAUGGCAGCCAGUCUACAUCUCAUCCACGUCUGAACUAAAUCAGUAUCUGUAGGGCUCUCCUGAUGGUUGUGUAAUGGCGCCAGUAUUUGUUUUUCGUUUAAACUUAAUUAACUCUUUAAUACUUUUUAUGUAAACACAAAUGAACUGAUAAAAACAAAACAACACAAGAGCCACUCUAGCGAAUAAAAGUAGAGAAACGGUACUACGGGGACUCAUGUGAUUUAUUCUUGUUUACAGAAUCAGUAUUGCCGUAGGUGAUAUCUUAUCCAGUAAAUACAUGAAUAUGUAUUGCUGCUUUUUGACACAUGCAAAGACUUACACGUUACACAGACUACUUUUCUUCCUCCAAAUGAAAAAAAACAAACAACGGUUCCAGGCGCCACAUCGAAAAGCUGUGAUUUUUUCCUUUUUGAAACACUUUCAGUUAUUUAAAACCUGUGAUGUGCCCUGCAAGAGUGGUGUUGCCUCGGAGAAUGCCCCUAAAUGUUUGCUAAAGGGGGGCACGGGUUGGCCCUCGUAAUACCCCAUAAUGUCCCUGCAUAGUGAUCAAACAAUGAGAUUUAAUCAGUUGCCUCCAGUCUUGUUCCCAUAGAAAUGUGUUCUCUAAUAUAAAGUUCAUUUCUAUGAAUAUUAAAGCAGCAUAUCAUUUGUUGAAUAUUUCAUUCGAUGGCCACCUCUUAAUAAUGCAAAAUGAGGAAUAGAAUAUUCCCCCUUUUUCCUAUAGAUGACGGCUUUGACCACUAUUGUAGAUCACGUAACACAUUUCAAGGUGUAAUAUGUUUACGACAGGCGUAGUUGAAAAUCUUGAAUAUUGAAUCAAUGAAUAUUAUCCCACAAUUUGGGGCAUUUGGACAUUGACACACAAUGUAACACAACGAUGAAAGUGUAUGUGUCUUUGGCGGGGGGGGGGGGGGCAGGGCCAGGUACGCCUUCUCUGUUGACCUAAACAGAACGUUAUAGUUAUUUUAUCAUUCUCUUUUGUUUAAUACACUACAUGAAUUGUGACUAUUUUUCCAGUUAUUUGCACAGCUCCUGUCUUCCUCUGUUGCUUCCAGUGCAGCUUUCAUCCAAUCAGAUUCAGCCCUUGUUUCUCUAUGUAAGAGAGGCAAGAGGUCCUCUAUGUAACUUUGCACAUCAUAUGGGGACCAUAUUGUUGACUUUCAUAGUCCUCAACCAGAUGUAGUUUGCCAUGUUGUGCGUAUGCAGCAAUAACGGGUGCGUCAAGUAAAUCUCAGUAUUUAGUAAGAGUUCAGGAUGAACUUUGUCUGUAAAUAGUGAACAACAUUUGGCAAGUGAUCUUGGGUGUGUGUUGUUUUAGUGCCACAGUUUUGACAUGCUUUGGUGUAAAUCAGGGUUCUUCAACGUUUUUCAGCCCAAACUGAUGGCGAGAUGGAGCAGGGACCCCCUAUUCUACGGAGUUUGGUCCGCCAUCUUUUAUUUUUGAUCUUCGUGCUCUUUAGACGUGAGCAUGAGCGCGAUCUGGUUGGCUGGUGCCUGUGCUGCCGUAUUGGCAUGGAAGGUGCUGUGAGUGAACCGGUGCCCGAAGCAUGAGAGCUGCUGCGGGAAGCUGAAUGUGUGUGUUGAGGACCGAAAGAUAAUCCAAGAUGUUGGAUCCAUGUUAAUGUGUAUUGUGAUUCUGAAGACAUUUAAAUUAGUGGAAAAAAAAAAAAAAGUUUGUAUUACCAACCAAUAAUGUUGCCACCUGCCUGCAGUACCUCCGCGGACGCCCUGUUGAAGACCUCUGGUGUAAAUAAAUGUGAGUGGUUCUCAUGCGUUUGCUCUCGUCAUUGACUUAAUUACAUUGCUUUCAAUAAAUGCAUUGUCCUAUAAUUACACAGCAUACUGUCAUGCGCGUAUUCACGUAUCUGCAGUCGGUGUUUUUUGUAUGUGAUGACCUUCAUGUAACAUUUUACUUCACUUUAAAAGUUACAGAGUUGUGGUAUAUGAGGUGUUUUGAGGAAACAAAUAACCUGCAACUGUGCCCUCAUAUUGAGGUCUUUAGGUUAUUCAUCUGUAGUAGGACGUCACAGGAGGCCCAGGUAGAAAAGGUCUUUAGUGAAGCAUGGGUCGACAUCUGCUCGUUUUGAAUGAACUUUGAAUUUAAUGGUUCGGGGGAGACAGCAAGAGGAGGUGACCAAUCAAGCCGCAUGUUCUUUGCAGAUACUGAAGGUGCAUAAAAGUACUAAAACAGUUACGUGAAGGCUGCACAAGCUGCCUGCACGGCUUAGGAGGCUUAUCUAAUGUAAUUGUAUCCCAUCAUGAGGAUGCGAAUGAAGUGCGUAGACAUUUCAACCCUGUUGGAAAAGGCCUUGAGGCGAUCUACCCUCGGUGUCCUUCCCCUCUCAGCCGUGUUCUAAUUGUAUUAUCCCCUUCAUUUUAGUUAUUUGCUUCUCUCUCCUUUUCCGUCUCCCUCCUCUAAAUGUCUUCGUCAAGCAAUCAUCAAGGUGAUAAUUGCAUUGCCAGUCCCCAGUAAGAUACAUUCUUAAUUAUUUCAGCAUUAGGCGGUAGUUAUACAGGCAAUUAAUGCUUAACUUCACAAUUAUAUACUUUGUUUGAUUGCCUUUUAUCAGCAGGAUGCAAUGGGCUUAUUGGCCGCUGACAAGAGGAGCGCCGCAGUUUUAUACAAAAGAUAAGUGAUGUGACAUUCCCCCGUGCGGCUUGUGUUCACAUGCAAACACGGCGUGUUGCGUUGAAGUGCUUUUAAUCUCGCAAACACCCCACGCACGAAAAAACAGCCGCGGACGCUGAACGAGCUGCGAAGGCAUGAAAAGCAGUUCGGGUCAGGCGGUUGCUUUUGAAACCUUGAUUCUCUGCCAGUCUCGCUUGAGUCUGGUUUGUUGACACCUCCGUUGGAAUGGGCUUUUCUCGCCGGUAUGAAUAACUCAUCAAGGGUUCUCGGUUCAUGUUGCGGUUAUCGGAUGGCGGGCGUUGGUGUGAAUUUGCAAAAAAAAAAAAAACUACCUUUCCCUGUUCUGCGGGUUGAGAUGACAUAGGAAUUGUCUACUGUUUCCACCACAUAUAGUAACUUGAAAUAUGUUGUUAAUAGGUGACAAUAUGUUUUGAUGCUGCUUUAUAGUCGGAUUCAGACCUAAUUACACUGUAGUGUACACCUGGCACUGCCCCUCAGUACCGUCACAUUCCUCUGUCUUUAAAGUCUUGGCCCGGGCAUCAAAGCCGCCUGCUUUUGAUGAUAUUUUGGCACUGCUCGGUGUUGGCUGCAACUUAAAUAGGAUUAGAGUUUUGCACUUAAAAAAAAGGGGCCUGCUGCUCUUCAUUUCAGCAGAACAGGAUAUUAUAAGUAUUUGUCAAUGUCAAAAACGUGGGACAACUUUUAACAUUUUUAAAGAGAACUGCAAAGCUAUACAUGUUGUAUUAUCAUCAAAUCGUUCAUUUUUGUCAUUCUGCUCUAUCAAUAUUACAUCCUGGUUGUACCAGAUUCCAUUCAGCUACGACCCUUUAACGGUGCAGUGUCCAGUAACAUAUUCAAUGAGCCUACUCCUUCCAUCCGUGGUUAAUGCCAUUAUGCUUUCUAAUGUCGGCUCCCGUUCACACUUUAUUUCAGUGACGAUAAUAAACGCAAUUUAAGAGUUACAAUAAUCUAAAUCUGGCUUUUUGGCUGUCCCGCAAAAACACCCUCUAACCCACUGUAACUUUCUUUCGUGCUUUCAUUCAUCCUGUCAUGACUAUUUACUGACACUGGGAUAGACGGGUGCUCUACUCACGGCGGUUAUUAUCGGAACCUACAUGUGUGACAUCUAACUUUACCCACACACACACACAGACACACACAGACGCAUGCUGCUGUAACAAACACAUGCACAGCGGUCACUGCCCAUGCAGCAGGACAUACAUCAAGACCACCGUGUGGACAUCAAAGAUCAAAUUACUCCUCCCAGUAUGAGUCACAUUGAUAACCCCCGAUGUCAGUAGGAAUCCAAUCAAAAUCUUAAUUGUGCCCCACUAAAACGGCCCCCUUGAUUAGUUCUCCAAUAAAAUCCAUUUCCUGCCCUUGUGCCUAUUUUGGGCAGUUUAUUUCCCUUGUGGCAUCAAGCAAUAGGCCCUACCCGGGGCCCCCACAUCAGAAGGCCCGGUGUGAUGUGUGUCUGUCUGGAGCGCUUUGCAGGAGCUUGAUGCUUGUGUCCGCCCCCCCCGACCAUUCCCGAUGAUUACCUGAACCCCACUGUUGGCUUUUCCAAUAUUCUCCGCUGGCUCAACCUUUUGUGUCCACCCCGGGCGGAACUAAAUGGGCAGCGCUUUUAGAAAAUUGUGGCACUUUUUUUGGGUCACGUUUAUCUUACGGCCCUAAAAUUGUGGAGCCGUCUUACAGGGAGAAAUUGCACCAAUAUCCAUCUAGUCUCUCUAUCACAGGAACGGUGGCAGCAUUCAUUCCGCCAGAAGAAAUAUGAUCUCCUGUUAUUUAGUCAGUGUUAUUUCAACUGGAGCGUUUCGAGUUGGGUGAACUUUAAUAUUUAGAACGCUUACCUCUCAAACAUGUGUUCCCCGGACUAUGUAUAAUGUCAUCGACGCUUGAAUAACUAAAUUGCUGUUAACCACAAACUGUGUCUUGAAAAUCAGCCCAAACGAAGGAGUUGAUCGUUCAAUCAACAUUCUUUCCCUAAAAGUAAAUCGGGGGUGACUUUUGGAGCGCUCGACAGAAAUAACUGAUUACUGAUUGCUCUGAGGUGCAGU
Molecule: long non-coding RNA, 18712 nt
Organism: Gasterosteus aculeatus aculeatus (three-spined stickleback)
Lineage: Eukaryota; Metazoa; Chordata; Actinopteri; Perciformes; Gasterosteidae
Source: Ensembl